GGAAUCUUCCGCAAUGGGCGCAAGCCUGACGGAGCAACGCCGCGUGAGUGAGGAAGUUCUUCGGAACGUAAAGCUCUGUUGUUCCUGACGAACCUCCCUUCUAUCAACAACGGAGGGGACUGACGGUAGGGAACGAGGAAGCCACGGCUAACUACGUGCCAGCAGCCGCGGUAAUACGUAGGUCCCGAGCGUUGUCCGGAUUUAUUGGGCGUAAAGCGAGCGCAGGCGGUUUAAUAAGUCUGAAGUUAAAGGCAGUGGCUUAACCAUUGUUCGCUUUGGAAACUGUUAGACUUGAGUGCAGAAGGGGAGAGUGGAAUUCCAUGUGUAGCGGUGAAAUGCGUAGAUAUAUGGAGGAACACCGGUGGCGAAAGCGGCUCUCUGGUCUGUAACUGACGCUGAGGCUCGAAAGCGUGGGGAGCAAACA
RNAcentral lists this ribosomal RNA (424 nucleotides) under uncultured bacterium. RNAcentral's name for it is "bacterial SSU rRNA". It matches the Rfam family "Bacterial small subunit ribosomal RNA", at positions 358 to 774 of the family's 1533-position model. The record is from RNAcentral.